GACGAACGCUGGCGGCGUGCCUAAUACAUGCAAGUUGAGCGCUGAAGGUUGGUACUUGUACCAACUGGAUGAGCAGCGAACGGGUGAGUAACGCGUGGGGAAUCUGCCUUUGGGCGGGGGACAACAUUUGGAAACGAAUGCUAAUACCGCAUAAAAACUUUAAACACAAGUUUUAAGUUUGAAAGAUGCAAUUGCAUCACUCAAAGAUGAUCCCGCGUUGUAUUAGCUAGUUGGUGAGGUAAAGGCUCACCAAGGCGAUGAUACAUAGCCGACCUGAGAGGGUGAUCGGCCACAUUGGGACUGAGACACGGCCCAAACUCCUACGGGAGGCAGCAGUAGGCAAUCUUCGGCAAUGGACGAAAGUCUGACCGAGCAACGCCGCGUGAGUGAAGAAGGUUUUCGGAUCGUAAAACUCUGUUGGUAGAGAAGAACGUUGGUGAGAGUGGAAAGCUCAUCAAGUGACGGUAACUACCCAGAAAGGGACGGCUAACUACGUG
Molecule: ribosomal RNA, 497 nt
Filed under: uncultured bacterium
Lineage: Bacteria
Description: partial 16S ribosomal RNA
Rfam family: Bacterial small subunit ribosomal RNA
Source: RNAcentral